This 253-nucleotide ribosomal RNA is filed under the name uncultured bacterium. RNAcentral's name for it is "partial 16S ribosomal RNA". It matches the Rfam family "Bacterial small subunit ribosomal RNA", at positions 524 to 776 of the family's 1533-position model. The record is from RNAcentral.
UACAGAGGUCCCAAGCGUUGUUCGGAUUCACUGGGCGUAAAGGGUGCGUAGGCGGUCGGGUAAGUCUGACGUGAAAUCUUCAAGCUUAACUUGGAAACUGCGUCGGAUACUAUUCGGCUAGAGGAAUGGAGGGGAGACUGGAAUACUUGGUGUAGCAGUGAAAUGCGUAGAUAUCAAGUGGAACACCAGUGGCGAAGGCGAGUCUCUGGGCAUUAACUGACGCUGAGGAGCGAAAGCAUGGGGAGCGAACAGG